Long non-coding RNA from Pteropus alecto (black flying fox), 5563 nucleotides. RefSeq lists it as uncharacterized. The record is from RefSeq and is a predicted model, not a curated record. NCBI's taxonomy places the organism in Eukaryota, Metazoa, Chordata, Mammalia, Chiroptera, Pteropodidae. The transcript is spliced from 2 exons.
GGCUCGCCGGACGGCGCCGCGCUGGGUUCCGUAGGGGGCGGCAGCGCCGAGCUUGGUCUGGGCAGCUGGACCCGGCCAGAUGUGGAGAGCGCGGGGUGGCCGAAUCGGUUUGGGGACAGUUGGUGCGGUUCUGGUCUGGGGCGGCCGAAAGUCCCGGGACCCGUCUGAGCUUGGAGACCCUGAUCGUGCGGGCCGGGUCCGGAGCGGGGGUCAGGGGCAGUUCUGCAGCGGCUGGAUCCAGUCGGACCUGAGCGUCUCGGGACGCCAGGUGGAUCCGGGGUGACUUUCGGCUUGGAGCACCGCGAGUGGCCGCGUCGAUCGCCUUCGGGCGCUCUAUCUGGGACUCCCGAUCCCACUAUGGCUUAAGGGGUUGGAGAGUGGAGGAGGCUGAGCAGCCUGGUUGGUCGCUGUCAGAGACCAGGGGACAAUUGGAGACCGUGUGCCCAGCCAUCUGAUCUCCCCAGCAUCUCCCAGUAAUGAGGUCUUAGAGGAAGGGCUAGGCAAUGACAUCAAGAAGGGAGCUGGGGAGGGAGAUUUCAUGGGGGGGCUUCUGAAGCCCCAGGGGAGAAACCCCAGGCUGGGCUUGUUGAGAGCUGUUUUAGGGAGGGGGCUUGUGUCUAGAAGGAAAGCCAAGACUUUUUAAUCAUCUCUCUAGGGCCUGAUGACCACUCCUCCAUCAUGGAGGCCAAGCCACCUACUUUUCUUGAGUUUCUUUCCCCAUGGACAGACCCCUCUGAUUCUCUCCUAGUCCUGUUCUGUGCCCUCUUAACUGGGUACAAGUCACCAUGCAGGGCCAGAGGAGGGUAUGUAUCAGUGAUGGUGGCUGCCAGUCUCAGAGAUACAGCCAUUACCACUUCUCUGUGACAAUGCUGUGAAGCCUAAGGGGGCCAAGGUGGGGGCAGGAUGGGACCCCCUGUAGACACGAAGAGUCCCCCAGUGACUCCUCAGGCCCAACCCCUACUUUGCCCAGAGCUGGGGUCCCCUUCUAACACCCCUUUCCUCUUCCCUCACCCCACUAGUAUCUGCCCCGCCUUCCACCAUCACUUGCCUGUCCAGAGUCAAUAAUAAUGAAAUUAUGGCUUGACUGCAUACUCAAAAGUCCUUAGAGACCAUCUUGGAUCCAACCUACCUUUUUGGUCAGGAAUUCCUCUCCUGGAAUGCUCUGCUGGGGCAGUUUCAGUGACAGGGAGCUCACUUCUUGUUGAUCGGCACUUGAUUUAAGGUUUUCAAAAAGGGGAUGAGACUUUGAGGUCAUAUUAUUUACUCUGCCUCCAAGCCCACCCUGACCUGUUACUCAGAAAGAGAACUUUUUUCUCCUUAAAAACUACCAAAGAGAGGCCACCUUGCCUUGGUGACACUUUUCGGAGCCUCACAACCUGAGAAGCCCCCUAAUCUGUCAAGAAGACUCCAGGCUUUGAUGUCAAACAGACAGGAACUUUGAUCAAAUUGUAGCCUCACCCCCGAGUAUCAGUUUCCUUGUCUGCGAAAUGAGAUGGUAAGUCUUAUCUUGCAGGGAUGAUGUGGGGAUUCGGCGAGAUAACCCCUGAGAGUGCUUUGCUCAAAACACAGCUUCGUUUCCUUUCUUGUUCACCCUUAAGCUCACGUUGAGAAGUUCUGCCUGACAUCUAACAUAUCUGUUAGUCUGCAGGAAGGAUUAAAGUUUAUCAUGGUCGUGGGGAGAAGAAGAAGGAGUCAGUGAUACUUACAGAAUCAUUCAUUUGUUCUUCAUUCAAGAAAGGCUUAUGGAAGACUUAGGAUAUACCAAGCCCUGUGCUUGGAAGGAACAAAGUGUCAUAAAAACUGUGUUAAGGAAACGUCUACCAGUCCAUAGAUGUCUGCAUGGACCCUCAGGCUACGUGGCAUGUCUUUGGGAGAGCAAAGAUAUCAGGCCAGGCCAGGGAUCCCUCCUGGCUGGAGAGAUAAGAGAAAGCUUCACUGAGCAGGUGACAGCUGAAUCGGAAAGAACAUCGAGGUGGGGAGAGCUAUGUGGGCAGAGGACCAGACAUGUGAGCACGGGGAAUGCUCUUGGAAAGGCCGGAAUGGGGCUUGCCUGGUACCAGGGCAUGAAAGAGCCAGGACGGAGGAGAGAAAGUGGGCAAGGGACGCUGCUGGUGCCAGGUAGUCAAAGGCUUAGUCUGGCUGAGGAGUUAGAGCUGCACUGUAGAUUGUUGACCCACCACGUGUGGGUGGGGUGGAGGCUGACGGCUGACUGUCAUUUUGGUUUCCCCUAAACACUAGUCCGUGUGCUCAUUCCUGAGGUGGGGUGAUUCAGGGCUGCUAAAGUGUUUAUUCCUUCCGUCUCCUGCUCUCUAUGGGUUUUAAACAAAUCCUGCAUUCCCUCCCUUCAGCAUGGCCAAGUUUCCCCUGGCCUCCGGUUCCUAACGGGGCUCUUUUGGAAAGUGUGUGUGCUGUUUCCUGUUGUCCUGGCUGGAUCUCCCUGACUGUCCCCAGUUCCCCACCCAGGUCUCUAACCCCUUGGCCAGGAGUCAGCGCUGUUCCUAAGGGCCUCAAAUGGACCCCCCCCCUCCGCCCAGUGUAGCUUUGGGGUGAGGGUUCUGAGGACACCUUUUAUAUCUUCCGUCUUCAGUUGUCCUCAUACCACCCAGCAGCAGGCACAGAGAGGUAAAGGAGAUUGCCCAGGGUCACACAGCAGGAUAGUGCCAGAGCAGCCACAGACCUCCUAGAUGUUUGGAGGGUUACCAGGCAGAUAGGUUGGGGUGAAGGAGGCCCAGCCCAGUGUUCCCAGUCUGCUGUUUGUGGCACCUUGAGAAUGUUCCUUCACAUUCCAAACUGAUGACUGAGCUUAAAGCCACGGCUGAGGGGUGGGAAUCAUCUUUACUGUAAGUUGCUGAGUUGAAGACAGGGUCCAGCGCCUAGGUUUGAAUGCUGCAUGUUGUGUGACCUCAGAUUAGCUGUUCCCUCUCUCGGUACUUCCUUUCUUCCCAAGUGGGGCGGAUUCGCUCCCUUCUUGGGAUAUCAUGAGGAUACAACAACCUAGGAUAGAGUGUAGAAACACAGACUAUUAAGAACUUAAAGGAACAUUUGAUUUGAAGAUGGGAGGCCAGCCACAUGGCCCCUGACAGUCUGUGUGGGGUUCCCAGAGCAUAGGAGUGCCUUUCCCUGGGCAGCCAGCGUCUGUGCUGGUAACUGGGUUACUCACGUUUCCUUGCAUUGCUGCGAUUUUUGGUAAACAGGCAUAUUGUUAACUUUUGUUAAAGUGUUAACUUCUGUUAAAUACAUUGUUUCCCAGAAAGAAUUGGAGAGACCAGGCCCUGUCAGUGGAGGAACAGGAUUUGAGGGGUAAGGAGGCGGUAGUUCCAGGCACUAGCCAAUAUGACUAGCUUGGCUAAAGUCCACACUUUGAGGGAGGAACCAUCAGCAGCCAUUCACGACCUUUUAUGUUUCCUCUCAGUUUUUUCUUUUUAGUUAAUUAGGUAAACACCCCUGCCGUAGUCAAAGUGCUUCAUUCAUUCAUUCAUUCAUUCAUUCACCAAACAAGUCUGCCUGGCACAAUAUAAAGCUUUGGGGCUGCGGUCAGUUCAAAUGAGACCAAUAGGUCUCUUUUCCAGUCCGGCAGACAGGCAGAUAUGGAGCAGGAAGUUACAAGUGCAAUUGCUGUUGCCAAGGAGACACACAGGGUGCCAUGGAGCAGAUAAGGGAACCUGGCCUGGGGAUCGGAAAAGGCUCUCUGAGGACGUGAUGUUAAAACUAUGGCCUAAAGAGUGAAUGGGACUAGGAGGAACAUUCCAGGCAGAGGGAGCAGUUAUGUGCAAGAUGGGAUAGAACAUGGUGCGUUUGGGAAUUAAUUUGUCUGGAGGCUCGGAAGACAGGGCUUGGGAGGUGGCCAGGGGCAGGCGUGCGCAGGGAAGGUCACGUUCAAGAUUUGGGAUUCCAUCCUCAGGGCAAGGGAGAGCCGCUCAGGAGUUCAGAGUGAGGGGAGUGACAUGGACGAUUUGCAUUUUGAGAUGAUCAUACAGGCUGCUUUGAGAAGAAUGGGGAGCGGGGUGAGGCUAGAGGCUGGGGAACCAGUUAGGAGGCUGCUGGAGUGGCUCUGGGAGAGACGAUGGUGGUGGCCUGGACACCACACCCAGAAUGGGCAGUGAAGAGAGGAGGAGUCUGUGGUCCCAGAGGUCCCACAGAGCCCCUUUCCCUGUGGAUACUGACAUUCCUUCCUGUAUCCUCAUAUAUAUAUAACCAGCAGAACUCAUGGCCUCAAGAAACUUCAGUCUAAUCGAAGAGAAAGGCCAAGUUCCCAAACGCCUCUGAAAUGAGGUAGAAAAUGGUGGGAAGACUGAGGGACGACACGAACAUCUAGCAUUUGCCUGGCACUUAAAUGUGACUUCUUUGAUCUUCACAUCAACCCCAGGAAGUAGGUUUACCCCGUUACAGCAUUGUGAAAGUGGAGGCCCAAAAAUUACUUAAGGAGUUAGAGUCUGGAACUAGGCGGCAGCCCCUGCUUCCUCAAGAUACUGGCUUCAGUUCCAAGCUGCCACUCAAUUUAGCAGAAACUCUGCCUUCCUGGGAAGGAUCCCAGAAGUUGGGGAUGAAGCUUAGGCAGUUGGCCAGAGGUCUUGGUUGCUGAUCGGGGCUCGACAUCAGCCAGGCUGAAAUAUUGAUUUUUUUUUUUCAAGUCUUUCACCUUUGCAUAGCACUUGACAGUAAAGUCCUUUCCUCUCCAUCCACCAGCUCUUCUUGGGGUCAGUUACUAGCAGAGCUAGGAUUUAAACCGAGGCCUGUGACUCAGUGCAGACCCCCAGCUUCCCACAGGCCCCGGCCCAAGUCUCCAGUGGCCCCCUGUCUGGCGAUGAUGUCCCUGACUUCCUGACCACAUGCCCCUCUGAGCAGGAGGAUCAGCCCCUGGCCCAGAAACCUCCUCUCUCCCAUCCUCCUCCCCAUGUGCUCCUUGCUUCCUUGGAAGGAGAGGCCUGGAGGCGAGCCAGGAGGAGUAGGGUUACAGUGUAAACACCGAAGGAGUAGGGUUACAGUGUAAACACCGUCAUGUCAAUAUUUACCUCUGCUUGGAACCAGAGCCUUCCGCCUCCCUGCCUGCCUCCCACUCACUGCCCGUCCAGGUGCACGUGGCCUGCUCUGCUGCUCUGAUCUGGUCAUUGAAAGCAAGGCCAAGGGUGAAGAUCUAGCUUCUGUCCCAAACCCUGCCGUUAACAUUUCACGUGACCCAGAACAAGACAUUCUCCCUUCCGGGCCUCAGUUUUCCCAUCUAUAAAAUGGCAUGGCUAGAACAGACCAACUUAAGGGGCCUUUUUAGCAAUGUCAGGUAGAAUGACAAGCAUAAUUCUCAGGCUCAGAGCUCGGGCUGCAAGUUGGGCAGACCUGGGUUUCAAUCCCAAGUCUACCACUUCCUCACUGUGUGACUGUGAGCAAGUAACUUAACUGCUUUGAGCUUCAGUUUCUUCAUCUAUAAAAUGAGAUCCUAGUGGUACCUAUUUUGGAGAUUUGUCAGUGAAGAUUAAUGCAAUAACUCUACACAGCUCUUGUCACAGGAUAAGAACUGAAUAAAUAGUGGUGGUGGUUAUUCCAAAUAAACAUGUUAUGGUUCCCUGAA